CGAUCUGCUGGGGACAGAUAAAAUGAAUAUGGGUAUCGAUUCCUCCCGCCGUCACGAUCAUUCCCUCGCCCGCCAGGGCUUCCGUGGAGGCUCCAACCGUCAUUCCCGGAGUCACUCCGUCCAUCACGCUUGGAUUUCCUGCUUUUCCGAUUCCUUUUAUCUUUCCGUCCUUGAUUCCGAUAUCCGCCUUGAUGAUGCCAGUGCUGUCCACGAUCAGGGCGUUUGUAAUAACAAGAUCCAGGUCGCCGUCGGCGCUGGUUGUUUUUACGGACUGUCCCAUUCCGUCACG
RNAcentral lists this small RNA (289 nucleotides) under uncultured Blautia sp. RNAcentral's name for it is "5' ureB small RNA". It matches the Rfam family "5' ureB small RNA". Lineage: Bacteria; Bacillati; Bacillota; Clostridia; Lachnospirales; Lachnospiraceae. The record is from RNAcentral.